This is a non-coding RNA of Paramuricea clavata, 73 nucleotides long. The record is from the annotation of a GenBank genome assembly. NCBI's taxonomy places the organism in Eukaryota, Metazoa, Cnidaria, Anthozoa, Malacalcyonacea, Plexauridae.
GACCGCGUAGCUCAGUUGGAAGAGCAUUGGACAAGUAUUCCAAAGGUCGUAGGUUCGAAUCCCGCCGUGGCCA